This is a long non-coding RNA of Gambusia affinis (western mosquitofish), 501 nucleotides long. RefSeq lists it as uncharacterized. NCBI's taxonomy places the organism in Eukaryota, Metazoa, Chordata, Actinopteri, Cyprinodontiformes, Poeciliidae. The record is from RefSeq and is a predicted model, not a curated record. The transcript is spliced from 3 exons.
CCGAGGGAAGGUGCCUUUACAGGGGCCAACGACCGGAUCUGCAGCGCACGGAUCUGCAGAAACAGACGCACACGACUUCAUGUAUUCAGUCCCUGAAUCUAGACUUUGAAGAACCAGCUUUCACUGAAAUCCCAGCUGGCCUUUGGAAUAAACCCCGACCAGAGAACACACUUCAGGCGUAUAAUACGCAGAGUGUGUUAAAACAGCAGUGGUGCAGGCGGCCUUUUGGCCGGUCUUGGUCUAAUUCAGGGAUCAGAUGGCAUCAGAGACAGGGGAGCUUUGUUCUGGCACUAAGAAGGGAUGCAGGCUAAGAGCUGCUUUCCCAGGGAAUGCUGAGUGGUUUGUUGGCUCUGCAGCCGCCUGUAGGCUCCAUCUGCUCUCAUGUCCACACACACGCUGCUCUACAAAAAAAUAAAGCACUAAAGGGUCCAUGCUACUGUGUAGCAAACAAAUAACCAGAGUAAACUCAUCACACGGAUGUCCUUUAACUCGAUUAUAAAC